AGUGGGGAACUUUCCGCAAUGGGCGAAAGCCUGACGGAGCAAGACCGCGUGGGGGAGGAAGGUUCUUGGAUUGUCAACCCCUUUUCUCAGGGAAGAACGCAAUGACGGUACCUGAGGAAAAAGCAUCGGCUAACUCCGUGCCAGCAGCCGCGGUAAUAAGGGGGAUGCAAGCGUUAUCCGGAAUGAUUGGGCGUAAAGAGUCCGCAGGUAGUCAUCCAAGUCUGCUGUUAAAGAGCGAGGCUUAACCUCGUAAAGGCAGUGGAAACUGGAAGACUAGAGUGUAGUAGGGGCAGAGGGAAUUCCUGGUGUAGCGGUGAAAUGCGUAGAGAUCAGGAAGGACGCCGGUGGCGAAGGCGCUCUGCUGGGCUAUAACUGACACUGAGGGACGAAAGCUAGGGGAGCGAAUGGGAUUAGAUACCCCAGUAGUCCUAGCGGUAAACGAUGGAAACUAGGUGUGGCCUGUAUCGAC
This 469-nucleotide ribosomal RNA is filed under the name Planktothrix rubescens IL-22. Its description in RNAcentral is "bacterial SSU rRNA". It matches the Rfam family "Bacterial small subunit ribosomal RNA", at positions 353 to 836 of the family's 1533-position model. Lineage: Bacteria; Bacillati; Cyanobacteriota; Cyanophyceae; Oscillatoriales; Microcoleaceae. The record is from RNAcentral.